Molecule: transfer RNA, 65 nt
Filed under: Dilophotes sp. Q LB-2014
Lineage: Eukaryota; Metazoa; Arthropoda; Insecta; Coleoptera; Lycidae
Description: tRNA-Leu
Source: RNAcentral
UUGUUACUUUGGCAGAUUAGUGUAUUUGAUUUAGAAUCAUUUUAAGUAUUUAUUACAGGUAAUAU